GCCCGAGUGGCGGAAUUGGUAUACGCGCAGCACUUAAAAUGCUGUGACCUAAACAGUCGUGCCGGUUCGACCCCGGCCUCGGGCA
Molecule: transfer RNA, 85 nt
Filed under: Candidatus Berkelbacteria bacterium CG23_combo_of_CG06-09_8_20_14_all_41_73
Lineage: Bacteria; Candidatus Berkelbacteria
Description: tRNA-Leu
Rfam family: tRNA
About the family: Transfer RNA (tRNA) molecules are approximately 80 nucleotides in length. Their secondary structure includes four short double-helical elements and three loops (D, anti-codon, and T loops).
Source: RNAcentral